GAUGAACGCUGGCGGCGUGCCUAAUACAUGCCAGUCGAGCGAACAGACGAGGAGCUUGCUCCUCUGACGUUAGCGGCGGACGGGUGAGUAACACGUGGAUAACCUACCUAUAAGACUGGGAUAACUUAGGGAAACCGGAGCUAAUACCGGAUAAUAUAUUGAACCGCAUGGUUCAAUAGUGAAAGACGGUUUUGCUGUCACUUAUAGAUGGAUCCGCGCCGCAUUAGCUAGUUGGUAAGGUAACGGCUUACCAAGGCAACGAUGCGUAGCCGACCUGAGAGGGUGAUCGGCCACACUGGAACUGAGACACGGUCCAGACUCCUACGGGAGGCAGCAGUAGGGAAUCUUCCGCAAUGGGCGAAAGCCUGACGGAGCAACGCCGCGUGAGUGAUGAAGGUCUUCGGAUCGUAAAACUCUGUUAUUAGGGAAGAACAAAUGUGUAAGUAACUAUGCACGUCUUGACGGUACCUAAUCAGAAAGCCACGGCUAACUACGUG
RNAcentral lists this ribosomal RNA (497 nucleotides) under uncultured bacterium. RNAcentral describes it as "partial 16S ribosomal RNA". It matches the Rfam family "Bacterial small subunit ribosomal RNA", at positions 28 to 507 of the family's 1533-position model. The record is from RNAcentral.